CCUACGGGAGGCAGCAGUAAGGAAUAUUGGACAAUGGGCGCAAGCCUGAUCCAGCCAUGCCGCGUGCAGGAUGAAAGUGCUAUGCACUGUAAACUGCUUUUGUUUGGGAAAAAACCCCUGGUUUCUACCGGGGCUGAUUGUACCAAAAGAAUAAGGGACGGCUAACUUCGUGCCAGCAGCCGCGGUAAUACGAAGGUCCCAAGCGUUAUCCGGAUUUAUUGGGUUUAAAGGGUGCGUAGGCGGACUAUUAAGUCAGUGGUGAAAGCCCCAAGCUUAACUUGGGAACUGCCAUUGAUACUGAUGGUCUUGAGUACAUUUGAGGUGGGCGGAAUGUGUCAUGUAGCGGUGAAAUGCUUAGAUAUGACACAGAACACCGAUUGCGAAGGCAGCUCACUAAACUGUAACUGACGCUGAGGCACGAAAGCGUGGGGAGCAAACAGGAUUAGAUACCCUGGUAGUCCACGCCCUAAACGAUGAUCACUCGAUGUGUGCGAUAUACUGUACGCGUCUGNGNGAGANAUAGUAGANCUAACGUGGAGUUAGACGCGAGUUAGUAAGAGAGAGUAGAGACGNGAGAGAGCGACGACGACGACGAGGAGGAGGAGG
Molecule: ribosomal RNA, 606 nt
Filed under: uncultured bacterium
Lineage: Bacteria
Description: bacterial SSU rRNA
Rfam family: Bacterial small subunit ribosomal RNA
Source: RNAcentral